GACGAACGCUGGCGGCGUGCUUAACACAUGCAAGUCGAACGGAGCUGUUUAUUUCGGUAGAUAGCUCAGUGGCAAACGGGUGAGUAACGCGUAGGCAACCUGCCCUUAGGAUGGGGACAACGGCCCGAAAGGACCGCUAAUACCGAAUGCACUCUAACUUCCGCAUGGAAGAAAGAGGAAAGAUGGUGCAAGCCAUCGCCGAAGGAAGGGCCUGCGUCUGAUUAGCCAGUUGGUGAGGUAACGGCUCACCAAAGCAACGAUCAGUAGCCGGUCUGAGAGGAUGAACGGCCACAAUGGGACUGAGACACGGCCCAUACUCCUACGGGAGGCAGCAGUGGGGAAUCUUCCGCAAUGGGCGAAAGCCUGACGGAGCAACGCCGCGUGAGUGAAGAAGGUCUUCGGAUCGUAAAGCUCUGUUGUUGGGGACGAAAGGAAAAGGGAGGAAAUGCCCUUUUAAG
RNAcentral lists this ribosomal RNA (458 nucleotides) under Veillonellaceae bacterium oral taxon 132. Its description in RNAcentral is "bacterial SSU rRNA". It matches the Rfam family "Bacterial small subunit ribosomal RNA", at positions 28 to 471 of the family's 1533-position model. The record is from RNAcentral. Lineage: Bacteria; Bacillati; Bacillota; Negativicutes; Veillonellales; Veillonellaceae.